UAGGGAAUCUUCCACAAUGGGCGCAAGCCUGAUGGAGCAACACCGCGUGAGUGAAGAAGGGUUUCGGCUCGUAAAGCUCUGUUGUUGGAGAAGAACGUGCGUGAGAGUAACUGUUCACGCAGUGACGGUAUCCAACCAGAAAGUCACGGCUAACUACGUGCCAGCAGCCG
RNAcentral lists this ribosomal RNA (170 nucleotides) under uncultured bacterium. Its description in RNAcentral is "partial 16S ribosomal RNA". It matches the Rfam family "Bacterial small subunit ribosomal RNA", at positions 355 to 517 of the family's 1533-position model. The record is from RNAcentral.